RNAcentral lists this ribosomal RNA (301 nucleotides) under uncultured bacterium. Its description in RNAcentral is "partial 16S ribosomal RNA". It matches the Rfam family "Bacterial small subunit ribosomal RNA", at positions 509 to 807 of the family's 1533-position model. The record is from RNAcentral.
CAGCCGCCGCGGUAAUACGAAGGGGGCUAGCGUUGCUCGGAAUUACUGGGCGUAAAGGGCGCGUAGGCGGAUGUUUAAGUCAGAGGUGAAAGCCCAGGGCUCAACCUUGGAACUGCCUUUGAUACUGGCGAUCUUGAGUCCGGGAGAGGUGAGUGGAACUGCGAGUGUAGAGGUGAAAUUCGUAGAUAUCCGCAAGAACACCGGUGGCGAAGGCGGCUCACUGGCCCGGAACUGACGCUGAGGCACGAAAGCGUGGGGAGCAAACAGGAUUAGAUACCCCCGUAGUCCCUGUCUCUUAUAC